This is a small nucleolar RNA of Amblyraja radiata (thorny skate), 137 nucleotides long. NCBI's taxonomy places the organism in Eukaryota, Metazoa, Chordata, Chondrichthyes, Rajiformes, Rajidae. The record is from RefSeq and is a predicted model, not a curated record.
AUGCACUACCUUUGAACCUGUGCUGUUUUCAUCUGUAACUGUGCAGGCCAACCAAUAGUGCGAAAUAAAUUGCUUGUUAUAACUGGGGAUUUUCAGCUCUCCCAACUGAAGAGCUCUUUUAAGAACAAGUCAUAUAC